CAUUAAAGAGUUCUAUAACUCCCAAACCCAUGUGAACAUACCUAACGUUGCCUCGGCAGGUCGCACCUACCUUGUAGCACCCUACCCUGUAGGGCCUACCCGGGAGGUGCGGGUAAGCCUGCCGGCGGCCCACCAAACUCUGUUUGAUAUUGAAUUCUGAACCUAUAACUAAAUAAGUUAAAACUUUCAACAACGGAUCUCUUGGUUCUGGCAUCGAUGAAGAACGCAGCGAAAUGCGAUAAGUAAUGUGAAUUGCAGAAUUCAGUGAAUCAUCGAAUCUUUGAACGCAUAUUGCGCCCAUUAGUAUUCUAGUGGGCAGGACCGUUCGAGCGUCAUUUCAACCCUUAAGCCUUCGUUGCUUAGUGUUGGGAGCCUACGGCAACGUAGCUCCUCAAAGUUAGUGGCGGAGUUGGUUCACACUCUAGACGUAGUAAUUUUUUAUCUCGCCUAUUAGUUGGACUAAUCCCCUGCCGUAAAACCCCCAAUUUAUCAAGGUUGACCUCGAAUCGGUUCAGACAAACUCGCUAAAUUGAAGCAUCUUAGUCAGCGAAGGAAAAGAAACCAACAGGGAUUGCCCUAGUAACGGCGAGUGAAGCGGCAACAGCUCAAAUUUGAAAUCUGGCCCUCGGGUCCGAGUUGUAAUUUGUAGAGGAUGCUUUUGGCGCGGUGCCUUCCGAGUUCCCUGGAACGGGACGCCUUAGAGGGUGAGAGCCCCGUACGGUUGGACACCAAGCCUCUGUAAAGCUCCUUCGACGAGUCGAGUAGCUUGGGAAUGCUGCUCUAAAUGGGAGGUAAAUUUCUUCUAAAGCUAAAUAUUGG
This 819-nucleotide ribosomal RNA is filed under the name fungal endophyte. RNAcentral describes it as "eukaryotic LSU rRNA". The stretch from base 497 to 819 matches the Rfam family "Eukaryotic large subunit ribosomal RNA", at positions 1 to 326 of the family's 3401-position model. Lineage: Eukaryota; Fungi. The record is from RNAcentral.